CAGGCUUAGUCAAACGAGGUAAAGUAACGUUUAUUCAUUUGUUUUCCGGAGGAAAGUGAUUGUAGUGCUUCGAAUGGAAUCAUUUGAAGGAUGCUUACCACGGAAGCCGCUAUUAUGCUGUAGCAUUUGCACCGGAGACAUCGUUACCAGUACGGAUCCUGUCCCAGGGAAAAACAGAAUGAAAUGAAUCUUAGUUAGUACCCGAGGAAGCGGACGAUGAGCGAUCACUGUUAUAGGAGAAAAGCUCUUCAAAUGUGAAUUUCGUGGAAAAAAAUUGGCGAAAAUCCAAAAACUCAUUCUACACGUGCGGACUCACACAGGUGAACGCCCUUUAUGCUUGUCCCCACUGGCCGAAAAUAUUCACUCAAUCGGUAACGCUUAAGAUUCACACCAGGGUGCAUACCCGGGAAACUCCAUAAUUGUGCGAAUACUGCGACCGAGGGUUCACUCAAUCCUACAAUUUGACGGUGCACCUACGAACCCAACACAAACAUAUAACGGUAUACCGAGGACGUGCCGGCGUGCUGCCCGAGUACAAAUGUCGGCGAAAAGUUUCCGGCUGCCACCGGGAAACUUCAAUUGUCGCAAUCGUGGUAAAAAGUAUACCUUUGUGCACAAAUGCAAGGCUUCUAAGGCCGAAGUGAAGGAAAAGAUGUACUCGUGUAAAAUCUGCAGCCAAACCUUCAAGCAUCAGCAGAACGUCGUGAGCAACAAACACAAACGGUUCGACAAAAAUUUGAGGGAUCUGGAGACGGACGAAGAAGAGACAAAAAUUUGAGAGAUCCCAAUGUAUAAGUUCCGACUGCAGUUGUUCGGAGUUCGGAAUGCGCUCCAGAACCUAACUGGAGCCGACAUAUAGGGAGAUGGCUGAUUAUCCGGCAAAAUCUACUGCAACUGCUUCUGUAGCUUUGCAUUGCAUUUAAAUGCUUAUUCUCCUAUGUUUAAUUUCCCGAUUAAAAAAACAAAAAUUAGCCACUACCAAUCCGUAUAAAUGUGUACCGUAUGCCAACCAUAUUAUCAAGCUAAUUCAGGUUUAAAACUAUUUUUAAUAUGGUGCAAUCAACAAUAGAAUAACUAUUGCCUGGUAUGAUAUCGAGCAAAACCAUCAUCGUUUUUCAUACGCGACCAUACAAUCAGGCCCCUGC
Topomyia yanbarensis is the source of this 1145-nucleotide long non-coding RNA. RefSeq lists it as uncharacterized. Lineage: Eukaryota; Metazoa; Arthropoda; Insecta; Diptera; Culicidae. The record is from RefSeq and is a predicted model, not a curated record. The transcript is spliced from 3 exons.